AACUAAUAAAAAUGUGUGUGUGUGUGUGUGUGUGUGUGUGUGUGUAUACACACACACACAUUUUUAUUAGUUUU
Podarcis lilfordi (Lilford's wall lizard) is the source of this 74-nucleotide non-coding RNA. Lineage: Eukaryota; Metazoa; Chordata; Lepidosauria; Squamata; Lacertidae. The record is from the annotation of a GenBank genome assembly.